CCUGGAUUUCAGGCAGGUAGUACAGUUUUACUGAUGUUGUUUUGCAUGGUAGCAGGGGAGGUCAGCUACUACAGCUCUGUCCAAGCUAGGUCUGAGGAUGCAUGCUUGUAUCAGAAGAUAAAGCAUCAAUAUGACUACAGAUUUUACUUCAAAAUCAAGCAGUGCCAAGGCAUGUGUGCACGAAAAAGAAUCAUCAAAUCACAGAAUCCUUAAAGCUGGAAGGGAAGGGACCUCUGAAGGCCAUCUAGUCCAGCUCCCCUGCAAUGAGCAGGGAUAUCUACAGCUUGAUCAGGU
This 294-nucleotide long non-coding RNA is filed under the name Gallus gallus (chicken). RNAcentral describes it as "long non-coding RNA NONGGAT011724". The record is from RNAcentral. Lineage: Eukaryota; Metazoa; Chordata; Aves; Galliformes; Phasianidae.